GGGUGAUGGCGUGCCUUUUGUAGAAUGAACCGGCGAGUUACGAUCCCGUGCAAGGUUAAGCAGAAGAUGCGGAGCCGCAGCGAAAGCGAGUCUGAAUAGGGCGAAUUGAGUACGUGGUCGUAGACCCGAAACCAGGUGAUCUACCCAUGUCCAGGGUGAAGUUCAGGUAACACUGAAUGGAGGCCCGAACCCACGCACGUUGAAAAGUGCGGGGAUGAGGUGUGGGUAGGGGUGAAAUGCCAAUCGAACCUGGAGAUAGCUGGUUCUCUCCGAAAUAGCUUUAGGGCUAGCCUCAAGGUAAGAGUCUCGGAGGUAGAGCACUGAUUGGACUAGGGGCCCCUACCGGGUUACCGAAUUCAGUCAAACUCCGAAUGCCGAUGACUUAUCCUUGGGAGUCAGACUGCGAGUGAUAAGAUCCGUAGUCGAAAGGGAAACAGCCCAGACCGCCAGCUAAGGUCCCAAAGUAUACGUUAAGUGGAAAAGGAUGUGGAGUUGCUUAGACAACCAGGAUGUUGGCUUAGAAGCAGCCACCAUUUAAAGAGUGCGUAAUAGCUCACUGGUCGAGUGACUCUGCGCCGAAAAUGUACCGGGGCUAAACGUAUCACCGAAGCUGCGGACUGUUCUUCGAACAGUGGUAGGAGAGCGUUCUAAGGGCUGUGAAGCAAGACCGGAAGGACUUGUGGAGCGCUUAGAAGUGAGAAUGCCGGUAUGAGUAGCGAAAGAGGGGUGAGAAUCCCCUCCACCGAAUGCCUAAGGUUUCCUGAGGAAGGCUCGUCCGCUCAGGGUUAGUCGGGACCUAAGCCGAGGCCGAAAGGCGUAGGCGAUGGAUAACAGGUUGAUAUUCCUGUACCACCUCCUCACCAUUUGAGCAAUGGGGGGACGCAGGAGGAUAGGGUAAGCGCGGUAUUGGAUAUCCGCGUCCAAGCAGUUAGGCUGGGAAAUAGGCAAAUCCGUUUCCCGUGAAGGCUGAGCUGUGAUGGCGAGCGAAUUAUAGUAGCGAAGUUCCUGAUUCCACACUGCCAAGAAAAGCCUCUAGCGAGGUGAGAGGUGCCCGUACCGCAAACCGACACAGGUAGGCGAGGAGAGAAUCCUAAGGUGAUCGAGAGAACUCUCGUUAAGGAACUCGGCAAAAUGACCCCGUAACUUCGGGAGAAGGGGUGCUCUGUUAGGGUGCAAGCCCGAGAGAGCCGCAGUGAAUAGGCCCAGGCGACUGUUUAGCAAAAACACAGGUCUCUGCGAAGCCGUAAGGCGAAGUAUAGGGGCUGACGCCUGCCCGGUGCUGGAAGGUUAAGAGGAGCGCUUAGCGUAAGCGAAGGUGCGAAUUGAAGCCCCAGUAAACGGCGGCCGUAACUAUAACGGUCCUAAGGUAGCGAAAUUCCUUGUCGGGUAAGUUCCGACCCGCACGAAAGGCGCAACGAUCUGGGCACUGUCUCAACGAGAGACUCGGUGAAAUUAUAGUACCUGUGAAGAUGCAGGUUACCCGCGACAGGACGGAAAGACCCCGUGGAGCUUUACUGCAGCCUGAUAUUGAAUGUUGGUACAGCUUGUACAGGAUAGGUAGGAGCCUUGGAAACCGGAGCGCCAGCUUCGGUGGAGGCAUCGGUGGGAUACUACCCUGGCUGUAUUGACCUUCUAACCCGCCGCCCUUAUCGGGC
This 1655-nucleotide ribosomal RNA is filed under the name Bacillus velezensis. RNAcentral's name for it is "bacterial LSU rRNA". It matches the Rfam family "Bacterial large subunit ribosomal RNA", at positions 591 to 2244 of the family's 2925-position model. The record is from RNAcentral. Lineage: Bacteria; Bacillati; Bacillota; Bacilli; Caryophanales; Bacillaceae.